UGGGGAAUAUUGCACAAUGGGCGCAAGCCUGAUGCAGCCAUGCCGCGUGUGUGAAGAAGGCCUUCGGGUUGUAAAGCACUUUCAGCGAGGAGGAAGGUGGUGAGCUUAAUACGCUCAUCAAUUGACGUUACUCGCAGAAGAAGCACCGGCUAACUCCGUGCCAGCAGCCGCGGUAAUACGGAGGGUGCAAGCGUUAAUCGGAAUUACUGGGCGUAAAGCGCACGCAGGCGGUUUGUUAAGUCAGAUGUGAAAUCCCCGGGCUCAACCUGGGAACUGCAUUUGAAACUGGCAAGCUAGAGUCUCGUAGAGGGGGGUAGAAUUCCAGGUGUAGCGGUGAAAUGCGUAGAGAUCUGGAGGAAUACCGGUGGCGAAGGCGGCCCCCUGGACGAAGACUGACGCUCAGGUGCGAAAGCGUGGGGCAGCAAACAGGAUUAGAUACCCUGGUAGUCCACGCUGUAAACGAUGUCGAUUUUGGAGGUUGUGCCCUUGAGGCGUGGCUUCCGGAGCUAACGCGUUAAAGUCGACCGCCUGGGGAGUACGGCGCAAGGUUAAAACUUAAAUGAAUUGAC
Molecule: ribosomal RNA, 569 nt
Filed under: uncultured bacterium
Lineage: Bacteria
Description: partial 16S ribosomal RNA
Rfam family: Bacterial small subunit ribosomal RNA
Source: RNAcentral